GACGAACGCUGGCGGCGUGCUUAACACAUGCAAGUCGAACGGAAAGGCCCUGCUUUUGUGGGGUGCUCGAGUGGCGAACGGGUGAGUAACACGUGAGUAACCUGCUCCUGACUUUGGGAUAACUUCAGGAAACUGGGGCUAAUACCGGCUAGGAGCUCCUGCUGCAUGGUGGGGGGUGGAAAGUUUCGGCGGUUGGGGAUGGACUCGCGGCUUAUCAGCUUGUUGGUGGGGGAGUGGCUUCCCAAGGGUUUGACAGGUAGCCGGCCUGGGAGGGUGACCGGCCACAUUGGGACUGCGGUACGGCGCAGUCUCCUACGGGAGGCAGCGGUGGGGAGUAUUGCACAACGGGCGGGAGCCUGUUGCGGCAGCGCCGCGUGCGGGAUGCCGGCCUUCGGGUUGUGAACCGCUUUCGCCUGAGACGAAGCGUGAGUGACGGUAAUGGGUAAAGAAGCACCGGCUAACUACGUG
Molecule: ribosomal RNA, 468 nt
Filed under: uncultured bacterium
Lineage: Bacteria
Description: partial 16S ribosomal RNA
Rfam family: Bacterial small subunit ribosomal RNA
Source: RNAcentral